RNAcentral lists this ribosomal RNA (494 nucleotides) under uncultured bacterium. Its description in RNAcentral is "bacterial SSU rRNA". It matches the Rfam family "Bacterial small subunit ribosomal RNA", at positions 351 to 842 of the family's 1533-position model. The record is from RNAcentral.
GCAGUGAGGAAUAUUGGUCAAUGGCCGCAGGGCUGAACCAGCCAAGUCGCGUGAGGGAUGACGGUCCUAUGGAUUGUAAACCUCUUUUGUCAGGGAGCAAAGGGCGCCACGUGUGGCGCUUUGCGAGUACCUGAAGAAAAAGCAUCGGCUAACUCCGUGCCAGCAGCCGCGGUAAUACGGAGGAUGCGAGCGUUAUCCGGAUUUAUUGGGUUUAAAGGGUGCGCAGGCGGAAUGUCAAGUCAGCGGUAAAAUUUCGGGGCUCAACCCCGUCGUGCCGUUGAAACUGGCGUUCUUGAGUGAGCGAGAAGUAUGCGGAAUGCGUGGUGUAGCGGUGAAAUGCAUAGAUAUCACGCAGAACUCCGAUUGCGAAGGCAGCAUACCGGCGCUCAACUGACGCUCAUGCACGAAAGCGUGGGUAUCGAACAGGAUUAGAUACCCUGGUAGUCCACGCAGUAAACGAUGAAUACUAACUGUCCGGGCAGAAUGAUGCCUGG